Molecule: ribosomal RNA, 483 nt
Filed under: uncultured bacterium
Lineage: Bacteria
Description: partial 16S ribosomal RNA
Rfam family: Bacterial small subunit ribosomal RNA
Source: RNAcentral
GACGAACGCUGGCGGCGUGCUUAACACAUGCAAGUCGAACGCUGAAGCUCAGCUUUUGUUGGGUGGAUGAGUGGCGAACGGGUGAGUAACACGUGAGUAACCUGCCCCCUUCUUUGGGAUAACGCCCGGAAACGGGUGCUAAUACUGGAUAUUCACUGGUCUUCGCAUGGGUGUUGGUGGAAAGGGUUUUUCUGGUGUGGGAUGGGCUCGCGGCCUAUCAGCUUGUUGGUGGGGUGAUGGCCUACCAAGGCUUUGACGGGUAGGCGGCCUGAGCGGGUGAACGGUAACAUAGGGACUGAGAUGCGGCCCAGACUAGGACGGGGGGCAGAAGUGGGGAAUAUUGCCCAAUGGGCGCAAGCGUGAUGCAGCGACGCGGCGUGAGGGAUGGAGGCCUUAGGGUUGUGAACCUCUUUCGGUCAUGGUCAAGCCGCAACAAUGGUUGUGGUGAGGGUAGUGGGUAAAGAAGCGCCGGCUAACUACGUG